Molecule: long non-coding RNA, 1868 nt
Filed under: Malus domestica (apple)
Lineage: Eukaryota; Viridiplantae; Streptophyta; Magnoliopsida; Rosales; Rosaceae
Description: long non-coding RNA (MDOM_LNC016483)
Source: RNAcentral
CUCUCUCUUUCUCUCUUCUCCCUCUCCCAUGCCACAUUUCUUCUUCUUCUUCCUCUCUGCAACAACCACAAAACACACCAAAACUCACAAACGUGACAAACCAACUACACCAUUGUGAUCAUCUCAGUCCCACGAUCACAACCAUGUCCUUGAAAUCUGGUGUGGACGAGUUUUGACUCACCAACUCGGAAGGUCGACUCGACGAGUUCGACAUAUCGAUUUUCAGGCCAUGCAUGGCUUAGGUAAGCCUUGAGAAACCCUUAGAACUUUCAUUUCACUUCUAUGGGUUGUUAUUGAUCCUUUGUUUGUGUUUUUGAACGUGUGGUUUUACCCAGAAACUCGAGAAGAAGGAGAACCUACCAUUUUUCACUCAAGAACCAUGGCCAUUUGAUCACUUUCAAACCAUGUUUCUGGUCAACCUCGACCAUAAAUGGACUUCUUCUAGGUACAAACUUGUUCUCUACAUUCCUAACUUCAAAAUGGAUUUUGAAUCACUAAUUUUGGUUAAGUAACGAUUUAGAAAUCAACUUUGGAAGUUGGGAAGAAAAUUUUAGUUUUUUGGAAAAUUUCAGCCGUGGUCGUUUGGCCACUUUCAGGCCAAAUUUCUGAUUAACGCAAACCAUAUUCAAACUUUCUGUAAAUUGGGAUCGGUAGAUCACAUUCCUAGCUUUAAUUUUGCUUUUGUAAAAGUGAAUUUGGUUGAGAAUCGAGCUCGGUAGGGGCUCUGGAAAUUGGCCCAAAAAUCUGCAAAACUGCAGAUUUUCGCGAAGAAGGCGAGUACAGUGUACUCGCGGGGGCGCGUGGGCAGCCACUUUGGGCGGCGCAUGGUUGAUACGUGUGUGUUCGUGUCGUCGAGUAGAUCGAUUUCAUAUAUUUAUAUCCUAUGUUUGAGCAAACUAUGGGGGGUUUUAUUUAGGUUUCCGUUAUGUACUUUAAUUAAUGUUGUUUAGUUAUUUCACAUAUAGGGAAAACUUAUUCCGAGGAUUUUCGAGGCCAAGCUAGGUUCGGGGGCUACGACCCAACAACGUACUUGUGAGUGAGCAGUUGUUUUAUACCUAUAUAUAUUUAUAGUUUCCAUAAAUGCGUAUUUACUUCACUUUUACGCCUAUAUUGCCUAGUAUCAUUAUUGUGAUAUAAAUUGUGAUAAAUGCUACUAUGAUUGUGAUAUUACUGUCAUGGCAUUCAUACAUACUUAUAUACAUGCUCAUCUUGCUGCACCCGGUGUUAGUACUCGCCCAAGGGCCAGGGCCAGUCCUUCACGUGUAUGUUCACAUCUGCACCGUUCGCUCACCUUGGAUCCAAGUUUAGGUGCCAGUCUUGUCGGGUAGAUUGCAUUAGGCGAUCCGACUUGUAUGUGAUGUGCUUUUGCACCAAUCUUCACGUGAUCGCAGUACUAGAGCAUAUUGAUUACACCCAGUCAUGUUCGUGUCAGAAACCAUUUGUUCGAACUUGUGUGUCAGCUUAGAUGGAUGAGCACUUAGUUAUAUUGAUUAUCACAUGAUUAUUAUUGUGGCAUAUGAUACAUCAUUUGCUUGGCAUAUUUCUGGUUAUAUGGCUGAUAUAUUGGAUUUCAUACUUACGUAGUAUGUUUUGAGGAAACUAUACUUGUUUUACGGCGAGGGGUUAGUAUAUUCAAAGAUAAAGGUUUUCUUAUAAGCAUUGUUUUGCUGACCACCUCAACUUUGUUUUUCGCCCUUCAGGACCUAGAUAGUUGUACUCUCUGUGGCACUCGAGGAAUCACGGCAGUUCUGACAUUUCCUUCUGUUUAGACGUACGAACUUAUCACUAUUAUGUAAUAAGUGUACUUUGGUUGCUUUGACUACUCUUUCGUAGUCUCCCUUGUCUAUUACGCUCUGAAUAAUUGUAGU